AGGUGGUAAAUCCUGGCCAAGGCUCCUCGAGCCAGGCCGGCUGGCAGUGCUGCAUCGUGCUGAAGGCGCUGAGGUUGCAGCGGAUGCAUUCCGGGCCAGUGAUAUGAUGUGGACAGGAAAAGUCUUUUGUUCUGGGAAAAUGGAGGACUGAAACCUCUUCAUGUCUUUUUCCCAGGCCCUGAUUUAGGAAGACCAAAACAGGGACUUCUACAGUAGCAGCUUAAUCAGCAGAUGCUGGGUGGUCGCCUCUGCACAUGGCCUGGGGGGCGGGGCGCCUUACCGCGUCACACUGGGUGGAUGGGCCUGUGUGUGGCCUCUCUCCAGCUGUGGCUGACAGUACUCACUCAGCCCAGGCUUCCAGGCCCUCCUGGGCCCUCCUAUCCACUGAAGGAAAUGGGAGAUGAGUGGGUAAUGGAAAAGCCUUUGGAGUCAGAUGUAAAUCCAUGACUUGACCACUUAUUGCUGUGAGACCCUGGACAGCUGGAUAUAGAGUUCUUGUUCUAGCAUCCGCCCUGGGAAUCCCCGGAACUGGGCCUCUUACCGACACCAUUGCCUGUAAUCCACAAACCUAGGAGUUACUCCAGUUACUGUCCUACUGAAGGACCCCCAUCCCAUCUGGGCUACUAUAACCACAUGGACCAUCCCUUGCUUCAAUCAUAGAAUUCUUUCUUCAGAUCAAAGUAUAUUCAGACACUCGAUACAGUAACAAAAGCAAGCUAUCCUGGAAGGAAGAAGGAAUCAGGAGGCAGAGCACAUGGUUAAAGCAUGAGAUGUGAAACCAGGAAGAACCAGGUCUGAACCUUAGCUCCACCAGUGGUAGCUUCAAACCUUGGUCCUUUCUGAGCCUGCUUCUUCAACCGUAAGGGAACGCUACACUUCCUUAGAAAUUAAGAGUGUGUGCUACACUGCUUUACCAGAGCAAGGCCAAAAGCAGCUUCAAUUAUGGUACAACUGUGUGAAGACACAAUGCAAAACCACUCAAGAAUGCUCACUCAAAUGGAUUUUUACCAUGAUAAGCGACCAGAAAACAGUCCUCUCUGAAUCAGACAAACUUCAAGAGCUACAAGGGUUAUUAACACAUGAAGUAAAGAGUCAAACAGUAAUCUGCAGGAACUCGGAAACGGGACCCAGAAAGUUGUUUUCUCAAGUGGAUGGAACAACACAAGCAAUCAGUAUCCUGAAACAGGCCCUGUUCCAACAAACUGACCCAGAAAGCAAGUAUGAGGACUCCUGUUUCCCUACGUACUCACUACUACAGCAAAGAUAUCAAACAUUGAUACCCACCAAUCUCUGGAUGGAAAAACAAAUCUCAGGAAUCGCUUGCAGGAGGCUCUGCACGUUCCUCAGAUUCAGAGUCGCUGUCCUUUUGCCUGUGAAGCUCCUCACUUUCAGAGUCACUAGCAUUAAGAUUUAAGGGCUCAUCGUUCUCAGAGUCUGUCACAUGAUGUCCUUUGGGGAGGCCAUCUUCUCGAUCACUAGUUUCAUUCUGAAAAAUAAAGUGAGAAAAAAUUAGGAAAGUGCAAAAAAAAAAAAACCAUUAAU
Molecule: long non-coding RNA, 1542 nt
Filed under: Homo sapiens (human)
Lineage: Eukaryota; Metazoa; Chordata; Mammalia; Primates; Hominidae
Description: PREDICTED lncRNA (TCONS_00151099)
Source: RNAcentral